RNAcentral lists this long non-coding RNA (1177 nucleotides) under Homo sapiens (human). RNAcentral's name for it is "HSALNT0360285". Lineage: Eukaryota; Metazoa; Chordata; Mammalia; Primates; Hominidae. The record is from RNAcentral.
GGAACAAGCCCAACUUGAGGCCGGCAGGAAGAGCCUAACUUGGUUUCCAUGACAAAGUAUAGCCACUGCUGUUUUAUAUUACCCCUUCGUAGAUGCUGCCAAAGAAAGUGGAGUAUCCAAGGGAAGAUGUUAUAUUGGUCACCUCUUCCUUCUGGCACCUGGGUUAUUUACAGACUAAAUGAGACAGUGUAUAUCUAACAUUGCUUUGUGGAUGCUAUCAAGUGCUGGCAAAUGUGUGGGAGAAUGAAUGGAAAACUUCAUCAAUUUCUAGGAUAGUAAAUUGGUGCUGCUAUUUUGGAGAGCAAUUUGUCAGCCUUCAGGGGAAACUGAAUAUGCACAUCCUCUAAGACCCAGCAGUUUCACUUCAAAGAAAAUUUCUUAUAUGCACAGAGACUUGUACAAGGAUAUUUAUCACAGCACUGUUUGUAAUAACAAAGGGCUGGAAAUAAACCAAAUGGCCAAUGAUAAGAAUUGAUAAAUGUGGUAAAUGCCUAAAAUAGAAUGUCACACAGCAGUUAAAAAAUCAUUUAUUCACUAAUUAAGCAAAGGACAAAAAGCCUCAACAGAAAAAAAAAGACAAAAGCCUUGAAUAGUCACUUUGCCAAAUGUUCAAUACACGUACAAAAACAUGGGCAAGUUCAUUGGUUGUCAAGGAAGUUCGAAUUAAAGCCACAUUUUGCAGGUACAACACUGGCACAAGUUUAAGUCUGAUGAUACCAAGUCUUGGAGAAGGUUGAAGCUACUGGAAAACCUGCCCUCUGCUGGUGGGAGUGCAAAUUGCUCCAAGCUCUUUGGACAAUAAUUUGGCAUCCUCUAGUGAAGUUGAAGAUGUGUGUGCUUGAGACUCAGCAAUUCCCCUUUGUGACAUCAGGAUGCUCCCGCACAUAUGCUUAAGAACAUUCAUGCCAGCUUUGUUUAUAUAACAAAAACGUGGAAAUAACCCAAAUGUCUGAGGAUGGGGAAUGGACAAAUAAUGGUUCAUAGUUAUGAAAAUGAAUACACAACAGCUACAAGCAUCUACUGGAAUGAAUCUCACAUGCAUUGUGUUGUAGAAGAAUAUGUAUAAUUCCAUUUAUGUAAAGUUUAAAAGCAUGCACAACUAAAUGAUAUGUUAUUUAUGAGUAUAUGACAUAUAUGAUAAAGGCAAAGAAUAAAUAAAGUAAGGAAAGGUAAGACA